GGGGAUGUGGCUCAAGCGGUAGUGCGCUCACCUGGCAUGUGUGCGGCCCGGGUUCCAUCCUCAGCACACAUCCUCA
This 76-nucleotide transfer RNA is filed under the name Marmota monax (woodchuck). Its description in RNAcentral is "tRNA.Ala". The record is from RNAcentral. Lineage: Eukaryota; Metazoa; Chordata; Mammalia; Rodentia; Sciuridae.